GAUGAACGCUGGCGGCGUGCCUAAUACAUGCAAGUCGAGCGAACGGACGAGAAGCUUGCUUUUCUGAUGUUAGCGGCGGACGGGUGAGUAACACGUGGAUAACCUACCUAUAAGACUGGGAUAACUUCGGGAAACCGGAGCUAAUACCGGAUAAUAUUUUGAACCGCAUGGUUCAAAAGUGAAAGACGGUCUUGCUGUCACUUAUAGAUGGUACCGCGCUGCAUUAGCUAGUUGGUAAGGUAACGGCUUACCAAGGCAACGAUGCAUAGCCGACCUGAGAGGGUGAUCGGCCACACUGGAACUGAGACACGGUCCAGACUCCUACGGGAGGCAGCAGUAGGGAAUCUUCCGCAAUGGGCGAAAGCCUGACGGAGCAACGCCGCGUGAGUGAUGAAGGUCUUCGGAUCGUAAAACUCUGUUAUUAGGGAAGAACAUAUGUGUAAGUAACUGUGCACAUCUUGACGGUACCUAAUCAGAAAGCCACGGCUAACUACGUG
RNAcentral lists this ribosomal RNA (497 nucleotides) under uncultured bacterium. RNAcentral's name for it is "partial 16S ribosomal RNA". It matches the Rfam family "Bacterial small subunit ribosomal RNA", at positions 28 to 507 of the family's 1533-position model. The record is from RNAcentral.